AGGGGGUCGAGUAGAUGGGAAGAAUGGCUCCAAAGUCACUCGACCAGGGGGUCGAGUAUGGUGCUGGAUGCACACGACCUGGUGGUCGAGUAUGUCUUCUGGUUCUGGCUCGUUUCUUCCAAUUUGCUCGCAAACAGCUCCAAAUCACCUGAAAACAACUUAGAAAUGCAAUAUGUAUGCAAAACUAUCCUAAUCAUGCAAAGUAUGCAAGAAUGAUGAGAAAUGAUAUAAAACAGCGAUGAAUGAUACAAAACUGGACUCAAAACGGUGAUGAAUGGACACUGAAAAGAUGUAAAUUAUAGACAUAUCAGGACCCACAGCAAAUGGAUCAUAAAGUCUUCAAAAAAGAAUAGAUACGAUUGCAUUGCAUGUAGUAACGGAUGCGAUCAUAGCAGCACUAAUGCACCAGAUCCCAUAAGAACUCCGCAGUUAAGUGUGCUUGGGCGAGAGUAGUACUAGGAUGGGUGACCUCCCGGAAAGUCCUCGUGUUUCAUCCCUCUUUUUUUUUUUGGUUUUUCUCUAUUUUUUUUUUUAAAAUGAAUGACUCUAUAACUUUUAGACCGUGAGGCCAAACUUGGCAUGUGAUACCUUUUCAAAAAGCCAAAAGAGAGCUCUCUGGUGAAUGAUGAAGGAAAAUGGAAUUCUUCUAUUGGGUUUUUUUUCUACUCCAAAUUUUGACCUUAAUGUACUCUUUUGGCGUUUUCGCGAUCUUUGCUAUAUUACGGGGCGAAAAUUAUAUGUUCGGACAUUGUUUUUGAAUAUUUUGCAUGUAUCAAAGCUCUUAUAAACAAGAUAGGGUAUUCCUACAUAGCUGGUGGGACCCACGACAAAUGGAUCAUAAAGUCUUCAAGAAGAA
Molecule: small RNA, 856 nt
Filed under: Arabidopsis thaliana (thale cress)
Lineage: Eukaryota; Viridiplantae; Streptophyta; Magnoliopsida; Brassicales; Brassicaceae
Source: RNAcentral